UAAGCUAAAGGAAAACAGAGCCUAACUGAUGUAAAUUGCAAUCUAUAAAUCUCAGCCUUUUUGGUAGUGGUGGCACCAAGCAUAAAUCACACUCACGAAUAGAGACAGCUGGAACAAAAGUUCAGACCAGUUUCACUGCACAGAGUUCAUGACCAAGAGCUGCUCACAGCCCUGGGUUAUGUAAUGGAUGUGGGACAGAGAAGAGAGAGGAGAGAAAGAAGUCUUCCUGUGGGCUUCCUCACUGCAAAUCAGCUGUCCUAACUCCCAGGCAUUUAACAGCAUCUGUUCUUCAAGCGUUGGAUGUUUGCGCCCCAACGUGACAGAGGAUGAGAUGGUUAGACAGCCUCGCAGACUCGACGGACACGAGUCUGAGCGAACUCCUGGAGAUGGUGAAGGAGAGAGGAGCCUGACCUGCUGCAGUCCACAGGGUCUCGGAGAUGCGACUUGGCGACUGGACAGCCACGCAGGAUCUCCCAGGACACAGGCUACUCUGCUUUUAUCAGAUAACUCGCUUACCCUUUUUAUCCUAGAGGGACUUCCUUCUCUAUGCCAACAUCCCAUCUGCCACGGCUUUUGGAUGAGUCCUUGGACGUCAAUCUGUUGUUUAUACAAGAUCCAUAGAUUCUUAUUCACUAGGAAUGAGCACACAUCUCUCUCCCCCUGA
This 664-nucleotide long non-coding RNA is filed under the name Ovis aries (sheep). RNAcentral describes it as "lncRNA (ENSOARG00000026396.1)". Lineage: Eukaryota; Metazoa; Chordata; Mammalia; Artiodactyla; Bovidae. The record is from RNAcentral.